Molecule: small RNA, 107 nt
Filed under: Marmota monax (woodchuck)
Lineage: Eukaryota; Metazoa; Chordata; Mammalia; Rodentia; Sciuridae
Source: RNAcentral
GCCAGGUGUGGUGGCACAUGCCUGUAAUCCCAGAAACAUGGGAGGCAGAGGCAGGAGGAGUGCAUGCUUGAGGUCAGCCUCAGCAACUUAACAAUCCCCUGUCUCAA